GCCGGGCAUGGUGGCGGGUGCCUGUAAUCCCAGCUACUCGGGAGGCUGAGGCAGAAGAAUCACUUGAACCCAGGAGGCGGAGGUUGCAGUGAGCUGAGAUGGUGCCACUGCAUUCCAGCCUGGGCGACAGAGUGAGACUGUGUCUCAAAAAAAAGAAAAAAAUUAUUUUUUUAGAGACAGGGUCUUGCUCUGUUGCCCACGCUGGAGUGAGGUGGUGUGAUCAUAGCUACCUGCAGCCUUGAACUCCUGGGCCCUCAUGAUCCUCCUGCCUCU
Molecule: small RNA, 273 nt
Filed under: Nomascus leucogenys (northern white-cheeked gibbon)
Lineage: Eukaryota; Metazoa; Chordata; Mammalia; Primates; Hylobatidae
Description: Metazoan signal recognition particle RNA (ENSNLEG00000030047.1)
Rfam family: Metazoan signal recognition particle RNA (bases 1-148)
About the family: The signal recognition particle (SRP) is a universally conserved ribonucleoprotein. It is involved in the co-translational targeting of proteins to membranes.
Source: RNAcentral